RNAcentral lists this non-coding RNA (29 nucleotides) under Mus musculus (house mouse). The record is from RNAcentral. Lineage: Eukaryota; Metazoa; Chordata; Mammalia; Rodentia; Muridae.
CUGGAAAAUCAGUACAGGUGAUUCAUGCC